This 206-nucleotide ribosomal RNA is filed under the name uncultured bacterium. RNAcentral's name for it is "partial 16S ribosomal RNA". It matches the Rfam family "Bacterial small subunit ribosomal RNA", at positions 568 to 774 of the family's 1533-position model. The record is from RNAcentral.
CGCGUAGGUGGUUUGGUCAGUCAGAUGUGAAAGCCCUGGGCUUAACCUGGGAAUUGCAUUUGAUACUGCCAGACUAGAGUAUGGUAGAGGGAAGUGGAAUUCCGGGUGUAGCGGUGAAAUGCGUAGAUAUCCGGAGGAACAUCAGUGGCGAAGGCGGCUUCCUGGACCAAUACUGACACUGAGGUGCGAAAGCGUGGUAGCAAACA